AUGGUAAGCCUCCAGACAUGCUUCUUUGCGCACAGAGCCUUUUUGGAAUUACUAAAUGAGCAGAUCAUGAAUGGGACUUUCCUGGUGGCCCAGCGGUUAAGACUCUAUGCUUCCACUGUAGGGGGCGUGCGUUUGAUCUCUGGUCAGAUCCUGCAGCUGCACAGCCGAAACAAAAAAGAUAAGUAAGUAUUCCUUAUCCAUAAGUAUUCCUGUGCAGUCUUAUUUUAAGGAUCACUCUGUAAUCCAUCACAUGGAUUAAAUGAGUUAACACCAGUAAAGCCCUUGAAGCGAUGAGUGACAUUUGGUAAGCAUUCAAUAGAGCUUAACAAUUAUUAUAAUCUGGAUAUGUGUACAAACUAUAUAUAACUUAACCAUCCCUUUCUUAUUGGACUUGAAGUUUGUUUUCACGGACACAAAUAAUGCUCCAGCGUGCAUUCAUGUGGACAAACGUGCGCGCAUGGCUCUGAUGAUUUCCUCGGGAGGUAUUCUUGGUUGUAGAAUGGUUGAGUCACAGAAUAUGUAAUUUCUUUCCAUUUAUCAACACAGAUUCCUUUACCAAUUUACAUAUGCUCCAGGCUGCUAAAUUUGUUUUUUCUCUCCCAAUGAGUCUGGGUUUGGAGCUAGAGCCUCCUCUGAGAGUGAGGGGGUGCUAUGGCGGAUAAAAACACGACCACCCCCAUUUUAUGCCAGGAGCUGGAAGGUAUGAUCCCAGAGGCUAAACAAGAGUGAAUGUAACCAGAAAUGAAGUCAUGAGUAAAGCGCCUGACUUGGCUGCAUCUCAAUUUCUUGACCUGUAAAAUGGCUUCAGCAUCACCUGCAACUCUUAAAAUUUAUGACAAGAUUAAAUGAAAUGGCUGUCUCUAACUAGUGCUGAGCGCAUACAUGAAGGACUCAUACACGGCAACGGUCACUAGCAGAUAUAGAAGCAAUACCAUUAGCAGUGCCACUGCAGAAACAUUGGAGGCACUGUAAGGAUUUAUGAAUGCUGAACUAAUGAGCAUAGACAUUAUUCCGCAGAACAUGAGGAUCCAUUGAAGUUUUUGGUCCAGGGACCAAUAUGCCCACAACAGGGCUGUGGAGACUGGACCCAGUAGGUUGAGGGGUGGACUGGAGCAGUGGCGCCUGGAGGCAGAGGCCAGUCCAGAGGUCACUGGAACUGACCAGAAGUGACAGGUCACAUCAGAGAGUUUUGCCUUAUGAAUAUUAAAAGCAAUUAUUUCCAACAUUUGUUCUAUGAACAGGAGAGAUGACAAGCUCUAAAGCCCAGCAUUUCUGUGUUGUUUUUAUUUAAAAUCCAC
RNAcentral lists this long non-coding RNA (1298 nucleotides) under Capra hircus (goat). Its description in RNAcentral is "lncRNA (ENSCHIG00010001853.1)". Lineage: Eukaryota; Metazoa; Chordata; Mammalia; Artiodactyla; Bovidae. The record is from RNAcentral.